UGUCUAAUUAUUAAAUUGCAUUACUCGUUAAAAUAUACGUAAAAUUCUAAGUAAUGUUUCCUCACUUCGUAUAUAGAUUUAUAAGUCGUUUCUCAUAGUGCACGAACGAAUUUUUAGCAUAUUUUUGCCCAUUUAAAUGCUAAUUUUAGCCUUUUUUUAAAAAAAGUUGGCCCGCUUCUUUAUGCGCAUUUAAGCAUAGUUUUUAAGCGCAAAUUAUUUUGUUUAUCGGCUACGUCUAAGUAGUAACGUUUAAAGAAUUUUUGUUUUUCUAUUUUCCUUUUUGCUUUGUCUAGUGUGACGUUUCGUCCUGUUGUAAGUACACUUGCACUCGCAGGUGACGUCAUUCGAUACCAACGUGUCUGCUGGAACGGAUGGCUUCCUUCUAUUCUCGUAAUUUCUCUAUUGCUGGUUUUACCCAGGAUUGUUGCACUGUUCUUAGGCAAAACUUUAGGAAGAAGGAAUAUUGAAUAAAUAUUUAACUGGAUUUUUAGUUGUUUUCUGUGAUAUUUAUUACAUCAUUGUUUUAAGUGGCAAUCUACAAUGAAAGAUUGUGAUGACAUUUCUGUAUCAUCAGGGAUUCAUCAUCUGCAAAUGGUUUCAUCACUGGGUUCCAUAAUGGCAAAUUUUAAUGUUUCUUGCUUAGAUAAUUGUUCUGGGCACGGUGAUUGUUAUAAUGGGACUUGUUUUUGCGAGGUAAAAUAUAGCGGCGGUACUUGCACCGAUCCAAAUUUUAGUUAUUAUAUUGCAUUUUCUUCCAUUUUUUAUAUUAUAUGUGGAGUGUCUUUUAUUCAAUUGAUUCUUUCCAUAAAAGCAGAAUUUGGUCGCUUGAAAUCUCCAUCUUUAUUAAAAGCAUGUAGAGUUACUAAAGAAAAAUUGUUAUAUGUAUUAAUAUGCCUAGCGACAGGAAUGAGAGGGUUUUAUUUUUCGUCGCCUGAAAAUUCUCAUCUUCACUGGGCGUCAGGAAUGAUGAGAGCAUAUUAUCCAUUGGUCUUAACAGGAUCAUCUCUUAUUGUUUGUUUUUGGGCAGAAGUAUUCCAUUUACCCGACAUUCAGUCGGAUCAACCUUGUUUUUUAAGUAAAUCUUUCCUGGGAUUUAUUGCUUUUAAUAUCAUUCCCUACACGAUGCUAAUAACUGAAGUUUUACUACACCAGUUUUUUAUUUCAACUGAAAUUGAAAAGAGUUUCAUCACAACAAUAUUUGAUAGUUUAUACGCUGCCCUCAUAUUUAUAGUUGUUAUAUUUUUCCUCAUUUAUGGAGUACAAGUAUACUUCAAAGUUCGCGGAGGAUUCAUAGAAGCUUCAUCGACAAUAAACUUGUCGCAGCUUCAUCAGUCACGUUUGGGGCUCGUUUCUCAAGCCAUUUUAUUAUUGCUGACUGCUGGUUUUAUUGUUUCUGAUGUUCUUGGAGGAUUUUGGAAAGAUAAAUUACCAGUAAUGAGCAGAAAUUGGUAUGAUAUUAUGUAUAAAGUAGCUGAACUGGGAGUUGUUUUGUGGUUUCCGUGUGUAUUGUGGAAUUGUAUUAGUCCGGAACAGUUAUGGAUAUUGAAUCCAAGAAGAAUUUUACAGAAGUUAGAAAGGAAAAAGCAUUAUGAUGAGACAAAUGCUCUCGUGUCGCCGUGUAGAAAUAUUGUAGUCAUCAAAAAUGAGUCAAAUACAUUAGAAAGGCUUCCAGAAUGUUGGAUAUGUUAUGAUUCGGAAAGAACUGAUGCGGGACCUCUAAUCCAACCGUGCAACUGUAAAGGUGAUGUGUCAAUAGUUCAUCAUGAAUGUCUCAAGAAAUGGCUUGUUGAAUCAUCAGCUAAUCCAGACUGUAAAGAAUGCAAAGUUUGUAAAGUUAAAUACGAAUUAGAAAGUGGCCACGUCUGGCUCACGAAGGGGCUAACGCCGACGCAUUGGGUUCAGACCGCCGCGAUCAUAACGGUUAUGUGCAGCGCCAUCACCGGAGCCUGCAUAUGUGUCAAGGUGUUUGAUAACGUCGGCAUCCGUACUUUGGCCGUAGGCAUUGCUUUGAUUUUGGAAUAUGUGUGUUUAAGGUAUGUUUUAAGAAUUUUAUUAAUUUAAAAAAAAAAAUCUUUAGAAUUUCUUAACUUUACACUGUUAUUCUAUAAAGCUAAAACUUUGGUGAAUUAUAAGUACUUUAAUUAAUGCUACUGCAGCAAAUUGAUAUUACACCCAAUUCUGUUUUUACACAAGAUUGGUUCCCAGAAAUGACAUGUAAAAAAUAAAUUGUAUAUAUGGAAAAAUUAGAAGAUUGGUUACGGACGUAAGAAAUAAAUGAAAAUAAUGAAAUAAAAUUUGAUGAUAUACAAAAGCAUAUGAAAAAAAAUUUUUUUUAUUUCAUAUACAUUGCACAUAAAUUUAUGUUCCUGUAAUUCAUUUUUAUUUCAUUUGAAAAACAAAAAAAAAACAAAUUAAUGAACAUAAAAAUUGGGCAGAAUGUAUAAUAUGAGGUAUACAUAUGCAUUUAUUGUCAGAAGUGAUGGCAAGUAAAAUCUUAUGUUUGCACAUGAUUGCAGUAUCACUAAAAAUGGUUUAGCCAUUGUGUUCUUCAUCCACAGGUGAAGUUCUUUCUGUGAACUCCCGAACGUUAGCAGUAAUGUCCUGUUCUGUCGACGGUAACUGGUUUUAUAAACAAAUUCAGUUAUUCUAUAUCAUACAAACGGCUGGGUUCAUAUUGUGGCUAGGUCUUUAUAUAAUUCUCUAUAAGACA
Molecule: unclassified non-coding RNA, 2710 nt
Filed under: Centruroides sculpturatus (bark scorpion)
Lineage: Eukaryota; Metazoa; Arthropoda; Arachnida; Scorpiones; Buthidae
Description: uncharacterized LOC111612421, transcript variant X3
Source: RNAcentral